CAUGGUUCUGAGGUAAAAGAUUUAUCGGUUUGGGGUGGGCUCGCGUCCGAUUAGGUAGUUGGUGAGGUAACGGCCCACCAAGCCGACGAUCGGUAGCCGACCUGAGAGGGUGAUCGGCCACAUUGGGACUGAGACACGGCCCAAACUCCUACGGGAGGCAGCAGUGGGGAAUAUUGGGCAAUGGAGGAAACUCUGACCCAGCAACGCCGCGUGGAGGAAGAAGGUUUUCGGAUCGUAAACUCCUGUCCUUGGAGACGAGUAGAAGACGGUAUCCAAGGAGGAAGCCCCGGCUAACUACGUGCCAGCAGCCGCGGUAAUACGUAGGGGGCAAGCGUUGUCCGGAAUAAUUGGGCGUAAAGGGCGCGUAGGCGGCUCGGUAAGUCUGGAGUGAAAGUCCUGCUUUUAAGGUGGGAAUUGCUUUGGAUACUGUCGGGCUUGAGUGCAGGAGAGGUUAGUGGAAUU
RNAcentral lists this ribosomal RNA (462 nucleotides) under uncultured bacterium. RNAcentral's name for it is "bacterial SSU rRNA". It matches the Rfam family "Bacterial small subunit ribosomal RNA", at positions 188 to 668 of the family's 1533-position model. The record is from RNAcentral.